AUUGAACGCUGGCGGCAUGCCUUACACAUGCAAGUCGGACGGCAGCACGGGUGCUUGCACCUGGUGGCGAGUGGCGAACGGGUGAGUAAAGCAUCGGAACGUACCCGGGAGUGGGGGAUAACGUAGCGAAAGUUACGCUAAUACCGCAUACCCUGUAAGCAGGAAAGCGGGGGAUCGCAAGACCUCGCGCUUUCGGAGCGGCCGAUGUCGGAUUAGCUAGUUGGUGGGGUAAAGGCCUACCAAGGCAACGAUCCGUAGCGGGUCUGAGAGGAUGAUCCGCCACACUGGGACUGAGACACGGCCCAGACUCCUACGGGAGGCAGCAGUGGGGAAUUUUGGACAAUGGGCGCAAGCCUGAUCCAGCCAUGCCGCGUGAGUGAAGAAGGCCUUCGGGUUGUAAAGCUCUUUUGUUGGGAAAGAAAAGAUUCGGGCUAAUACCCUGGAUUAAUGACGGUACCCAAAGAAUAAGCACCGGCUAACUACGUGCCAGCAGCCGCGGUAAUACGUAGGGUGCAAGCGUUAAUCGGAAUUACUGGGCGUAAAGCGUGCGCAGGCGGUUGUGUAAGUCAGAGGUGAAAUCCCCGGGCUCAACCUGGGAACUGCCUUUGAGACUGCGCAACUAGAAGAUGCCAUAGGGUGUACAACUCCACGUGUACCAUUGAAAAUG
This 667-nucleotide ribosomal RNA is filed under the name uncultured Propionivibrio sp. Its description in RNAcentral is "bacterial SSU rRNA". It matches the Rfam family "Bacterial small subunit ribosomal RNA", at positions 28 to 688 of the family's 1533-position model. Lineage: Bacteria; Pseudomonadati; Pseudomonadota; Betaproteobacteria; Rhodocyclales; Rhodocyclaceae. The record is from RNAcentral.